AGUGGCGAACGGGUGAGUAACACGUGGGCAAUCUGCCCUGCACUCUGGGAUAAGCCCGGGAAACUGGGUCUAAUACCGGAUACGACAUUCCGAGGCAUCUCGGGGUGUGGAAAGUUCCGGCGGUCCAGGAUGAGCCCGCGGCUUAUCAGCUUGUUGGUGGGGUAAUGGCCUACCAAGGCGACGACGGGUAGCCGCCCUGAGAGGGUGCCCGGCCACACUGGGACUGAGACACGGCCCAGACUCCUACGGGAGGCAGCAGUGGGGAAUAUUGCACAAUGGGCGAAAGCCUGAUGCAGCGACGCCGCGUGAGGGAUGACGGCCUUCGGGUUGUAAACCUCUUUCAGCAGGGAAGAAGCGAAAGUGACGGUACCUGCAGAAGAAGCACCGGCUAACUACGUGCCAGCAGCCGCGGUAAUACGUAGGGUGCGAGCGUUGUCCGGAAUUAUUGGGCGUAAAGAGCUCGUAGGCGGUUUGUCGCGUCGAUUGUGAAAGCCCGGGGCUUAACCCUGGGUCUGCAGUCGAUACGGGCAGGCUAGAGUUCGGCAGGGGAGACUGGAAUUCCUGGUGUAGCGGUGAAAUGCGCAGAUAUCAGGAGGAACACCGGUGGCGAAGGCGGGUCUCUGGGCCGAUACUGACGCUGAGGAGCGAAAGCGUGGGGAGCGAACAGGAUUAGAUACCCUGGUAGUCCACGCCGUAAACGGUGGGCACUAGGUGUGGGCAACAUUCCACGUUGUCCGUGCCGCAGCUAACGCAUUAAGUGUCCCGGUUGGGGAGACGCGACUUGG
Molecule: ribosomal RNA, 785 nt
Filed under: Streptomyces rubrus
Lineage: Bacteria; Bacillati; Actinomycetota; Actinomycetes; Kitasatosporales; Streptomycetaceae
Description: bacterial SSU rRNA
Rfam family: Bacterial small subunit ribosomal RNA
Source: RNAcentral